This 465-nucleotide ribosomal RNA is filed under the name uncultured bacterium. Its description in RNAcentral is "bacterial SSU rRNA". It matches the Rfam family "Bacterial small subunit ribosomal RNA", at positions 338 to 795 of the family's 1533-position model. The record is from RNAcentral.
CCUACGGGAGGCUGCAGUGGGGAAUAUUGCGCAAUGGGCGAAAGCCUGACGCAGCCAUGCCGCGUGGAUGAUGAAGGCCUUCGGGUCGUAAAGUCCUUUUCUGAGGGAAGAACUGCCGGGGGAGGAAAUGCCCUUGGCUUGACGGUACCUCAGGAAUAAGCAACGGCUAACUCCGUGCCAGCAGCCGCGGUAAUACGGAGGUUGCAAGCGUUGUUCGGAAUGACUGGGCGUAAAGGGAGCGCAGGCGGCCAAGUCAGUCUGAAGUGAAAGCCCGGGGCUUAACCCCGGAAUAGCUUUGGAUACUGCCUGGCUUGAGUGUGCGAUAGGAAAGCGGAAUUCCAGGUGUAGCGGUGAAAUGCGUAGAUAUCUGGAGGAACACCGGUGGCGAAAGCGGCUUUCUGGCGCAUAACUGACGCUGAGGCUCGAAAGCGUGGGGAGCGAACGGGCUUAGAUACCCGGGUAGUC